Molecule: ribosomal RNA, 407 nt
Filed under: uncultured bacterium
Lineage: Bacteria
Description: bacterial SSU rRNA
Rfam family: Bacterial small subunit ribosomal RNA
Source: RNAcentral
UAAGAGGGGGAUAACAUCCGGAAACGGGUGUCUAAUACCGCAUAGUUUUCUUGAUCGCAUGAUCGGGAAAGGAAAGACGGCCUUUGUGCUGUCGCUUAUGGAUGGACCCGCGGCGUAUUAGUUAGUUGGUGAGGUAACGGCUCACCAAGACGAUGAUACGUAGCCGACCUGAGAGGGUGAUCGGCCACAUUGGGACUGAGACACGGCCCAAACUCCUACGGGAGGCAGCAGUAGGGAAUCUUCCGCAAGUGGACGAAAGUCUGACGGGAGCAACGCCGCGUGAGUGAAAAGAAGGUUUUCGGAUCGUAAAACUCUGUUGUCAGAGAAGUAACAAGUUGGAGAGUAACUGCUCCAGCCUUGACGGUAUCUGACCAGAAAGCCACGGCUAACUACGUGCCAGCCGCCGC